GUCCGGCUGACGAGUCCCAAACAGAACGAAACACGCGUUCUGCUACAC
This is a non-coding RNA of Schistosoma curassoni, 48 nucleotides long. Lineage: Eukaryota; Metazoa; Platyhelminthes; Trematoda; Strigeidida; Schistosomatidae. The record is from Rfam.